This 244-nucleotide ribosomal RNA is filed under the name uncultured bacterium. RNAcentral's name for it is "partial 16S ribosomal RNA". It matches the Rfam family "Bacterial small subunit ribosomal RNA", at positions 524 to 767 of the family's 1533-position model. The record is from RNAcentral.
UACGAAGGGGGCUAGCGUUGCUCGGAAUUACUGGGCGUAAAGCGCACGUAGGCGGUCUUUUAAGUCGGGGGUGAAAUCCUGGAGCUCAACUCCAGAACUGCCUUCGAUACUGGAAGACUUGAGUCCGGGAGAGGUGAGUGGAACUGCGAGUGUAGAGGUGAAAUUCGUAGAUAUUCGCAAGAACACCAGUGGCGAAGGCGGCUCACUGGCCCGGUACUGACGCUGAGGUGCGAAAGCGUGGGAG